UACGAAGGGGGCUAGCGUUGUUCGGAAUCACUGGGCGUAAAGCGCACGUAGGCGGACCUUUAAGUCAGGGGUGAAAGCCUGGAGCUCAACUCCAGAACUGCCUUUGAUACUGGAGGUCUCGAGUGUGGAAGAGGUUGGUGGAACUGCGAGUGUAGAGGUCAAAUUCGUAGAUAUUCGCAAGAACACCAGUGGCGAAGGCGGCCAACUGGUCCAUUACUGACGCUGAGGUGCGAAAGCGUGGGGAG
This 245-nucleotide ribosomal RNA is filed under the name uncultured Phreatobacter sp. RNAcentral's name for it is "partial 16S ribosomal RNA". It matches the Rfam family "Bacterial small subunit ribosomal RNA", at positions 524 to 768 of the family's 1533-position model. The record is from RNAcentral. Lineage: Bacteria; Pseudomonadati; Pseudomonadota; Alphaproteobacteria; Hyphomicrobiales; Phreatobacteraceae.